CUACGGGCUGCAGCAGUGGGGAAUAUUGCACAAUGGGCGCAAGCCUGAUGCAGCCAUGCCGCGUGUAUGAAGAAGGCCUUCGGGUUGUAAAGUACUUUCAGCGGGGAGGAAGGGAGUAAAGUUAAUACCUUUGCUCAUUGACGUUACCCGCAGAAGAAGCACCGGCUAACUCCGUGCCAGCAGCCGCGGUAAUACGGAGGGUGCAAGCGUUAAUCGGAAUUACUGGGCGUAAAGCGCACGCAGGCGGUUUGUUAAGUCAGAUGUGGAAUCCCCGGGCUCAACCUGGGAACUGCAUCUGAUACUGGCAAGCUUGAGUCUCGUAGAGGGGGGUAGAAUUCCAGGUGUAGCGGUGACAUGCGUAGAGAUCUGGAGGAAUACCGGUGGCGAAGGCGGCCCCCUGGACGAAGACUGACGCUCAGGUGCGAAAGCGUGGGGAGCAAACAGGAUUAGAUACCCGAGUAGUC
Molecule: ribosomal RNA, 464 nt
Filed under: uncultured bacterium
Lineage: Bacteria
Description: partial 16S ribosomal RNA
Rfam family: Bacterial small subunit ribosomal RNA
Source: RNAcentral